Molecule: ribosomal RNA, 446 nt
Filed under: uncultured bacterium
Lineage: Bacteria
Description: bacterial SSU rRNA
Rfam family: Bacterial small subunit ribosomal RNA
Source: RNAcentral
CCAGACUCCUACGGGAGGCAGCAGUGGGGAAUAUUGCACAAUGGGGGAAACCCUGAUGCAGCGACGCCGCGUGAGUGAAGAAGUAAUUCGUUAUGUAAAGCUCUAUCAGCAGGGAAGAAAAUGACGGUACCUGAGUAAGAAGCCCCGGCCAACUACGUGCCAGCAGCCGCGGUAAUACGUAGGGGGCAAGCGUUAUCCGGAUUCACUGGGUGUAAAGGGAGCGUAGACGGCGACGCAAGUCUGGAGUGAAAGCCCGGGGCCCAACCCCGGGACUGCUCUGGAAACUGCGUCGCUGGAGUACGGGAGGGGCAGGCGGAAUUCCUAGUGUAGCGGUGAAAUGCGUAGAUAUUAGGAGGAACACCAGUGGCGAAGGCGGCCUGCUGGGCUUUUACUGACGCUGAGGCUCGAAAGUGUGGGGAGCAAACAGGAUUAGAUACCCUCGUAUA